ACGUAGCCGCUGGCGGCGUGCCUAAUACAUGCAAGUCGAGCGGACAGAUGGGAGCUUGCUCCCUGAUGUUAGCGGCGGACGGGUGAGUAACACGUGGGUAACCUGCCUGUAAGACUGGGAUAACUCCGGGAAACCGGGGCUAAUACCGGAUGCUUGUUUGAACCGCAUGGUUCAAACAUAAAAGGUGGCUUCGGCUACCACUUACAGAUGGACCCGCGGCGCAUUAGCUAGUUGGUGAGGUAACGGCUCACCAAGGCAACGAUGCGUAGCCGACCUGAGAGGGUGAUCGGCCACACUGGGACUGAGACACGGCCCAGACUCCUACGGGAGGCAGCAGUAGGGAAUCUUCCGCAAUGGACGAAAGUCUGACGGAGCAACGCCGCGUGAGUGAUGAAGGUUUUCGGAUCGUAAAGCUCUGUUGUUAGGGAAGAACAAGUACCGUUCGAAUAGGGCGGUACCUUGACGGUACCUAACCAGAAAGCCACGGCUAACUACGUGCCAGCAGCCGCGGUAAUAA
RNAcentral lists this ribosomal RNA (517 nucleotides) under Bacillus halotolerans. RNAcentral's name for it is "bacterial SSU rRNA". It matches the Rfam family "Bacterial small subunit ribosomal RNA", at positions 34 to 526 of the family's 1533-position model. Lineage: Bacteria; Bacillati; Bacillota; Bacilli; Caryophanales; Bacillaceae. The record is from RNAcentral.